This 180-nucleotide unclassified non-coding RNA is filed under the name soil metagenome. RNAcentral's name for it is "partial contains small subunit ribosomal RNA and internal transcribed spacer 1". The record is from RNAcentral.
UUUCCGUAGGUGAACCUGCGGAAGGAUCAUUAAUGCUUUUAUUGAAAGCCUAUUUUGUGAUGUGUAUUGAUGAGUGUGGUCACUUUGUUGCCCACAUGCUUUUUUUCACCAGUCCAUACAUUUAUUCUGAACACACGUUAAAAACAUCGAAAACUGCCAGCAAUGGAUCACUUGGUUCUC